RNAcentral lists this long non-coding RNA (1068 nucleotides) under Hordeum vulgare. Its description in RNAcentral is "long non-coding RNA (HVUL_LNC006033)". The record is from RNAcentral. Lineage: Eukaryota; Viridiplantae; Streptophyta; Magnoliopsida; Poales; Poaceae.
GCUCUUCUGCCACGGGGGCAGUGCAUGUGGUUCACUCCGUAUGCUCCCUUGAUUCAGCGGGGAUGCGCUGCGCCGCCCUCUCCUCCACUUCCUCCCCUCCUUAGCGUCCCUCUCCACGACAUCCUCUUCCCCAACCUUGCCCUGUCCUUCUCCUCCCUCCAGAAGCCCAAUUCCCCUUUCUUGCUCAGGUGGCGAGUCUCGGGUCUGGCCGCCGACUAGCAUCAGAGGAGAGGCCUCGAUCGGCACAGGAUGUCGUGGGGAUAUGGUAGCAAGCCCGCCUUGAGGUCGCUGCGAGGGCGCCAUGGCGGUUGUUCUCGAGCUCGGCCGGCGUCAUCUCUACGGGAGGACUGGUUGGUGGAAGUCAUGCAUGAUGCAUCUGGUUAGCCUUUCAUCCCGUAAGGCCCUCCCUACUAUUCCAUCACUAAUUCCUGCGCUUGCCAAAAUCAUUAAUUGACCGCUCUCUGUUUCCAUCUAAUUCUGAAAACGAUUGCCUGAAGCAAAUCUACUAGAUGAACUCAAAUCCCAGCUUGAGCGUCGAAGCCGUUCCUGCCAGCCUAGGAGAUGAGGCAGACGACCGAGGCAUCCACCUCCGGCACUGGAGUUCUUAGCCUCUGGGCCAUCUCUGUCACCAGGGACUCGGUGACCCCCUGGUCUCCAGCAGAGCUGCUCUGGCCUGCAAACAUAAGUGUCGUGCUUGAUUUACGGCAAUCGAUGUUUAGCGAUACUGACCCUGAUAAUGACUUUUGAAUUUGAUACGAAAUUAACCACAAAAGGCAGUGACAUCGAUGUAGUAUCUAGAUUAAUUCCCAGCAGGCAAAACCAUUCAAGCUAUGUUAUGGAAUGAAUUUUGUCAGUCAAAUUAUGUUAAGAUGGAUCUUUGACACUAGCAUAGACACUAUCUUGCUAUGCUACUGACUACAUAUAAUAUAGCUAUGCUCGCAAGUGCAAAUAUAUAGUGCACAUAUGGACGCAGACCGGCCAAACAGUACUAUUAGGCUAUGCGUGCGUACCUUGAUCAGACCACACAAGCAGCUCACCCUCUUCGGGUCGCUGUUCUUCCCACCGAUG